ACAGCAGUCGCCGCGGGAAAACGGAGGAUCCAAGCGUUAUCCGGAUUUAUUGGGUUUAAAGGGUGCGUAGGUGGCCUGUUAAGUCAGGGGUGAAAGACGGUAGCUUAACUAUCGCAGUGCCCUUGAUACUGAUGGGCUUGAAUGAACUAGAGGUAGGCGGAAUGUGACAAGUAGCGGUGAAAUGCAUAGAUAUGUCACAGAACACCAAUUGCGAAGGCAGCUUACUAUGGUUUUAUUGACACUGAGAGACGAAAGCUAGGGGAGCAAAUGGGAUUAGAUACCCCUGUAGUCCCUGUCUCUUAUAC
This 305-nucleotide ribosomal RNA is filed under the name uncultured bacterium. RNAcentral describes it as "partial 16S ribosomal RNA". It matches the Rfam family "Bacterial small subunit ribosomal RNA", at positions 508 to 807 of the family's 1533-position model. The record is from RNAcentral.